Molecule: long non-coding RNA, 299 nt
Filed under: Elaeis guineensis (African oil palm)
Lineage: Eukaryota; Viridiplantae; Streptophyta; Magnoliopsida; Arecales; Arecaceae
Description: long non-coding RNA (EGUI_LNC009047)
Source: RNAcentral
UCUAACUUACAAUUCGACAGUAAUAGCCCGAAAGCUUAUUAAUAAAUACGUUAGAAUAGAGCCCCUAUUCUAUAUGGAGGCAGACUCUAUCUCCUCCUCGUACUCCAACUGUAAAGAGAUUAUGUGGCUAUUAAAUUUUUAUCCACCCUAUGAUGCAUUGCACUUCCAUCGUGAGCAUCUCUUUCCCUUCCACUGACAAUUAAGAUCAAGAUAGAGAUGUUUAGGAAGAAAAAAGUUUACAUAAAUGACUUCAAAUCUUAUGUUAUAGUUAUUAGCUUUAAUAGUUUUAGUAUCAACUU